GACGAACGCUGGCGGCGUGCUUAACACAUGCAAGUCGAACGGAAAGGCCCCUUUGGGGGUACUCGCGCGGCGAACGGGCGAGUAACACGCGAGUAACUUGCCCUUGCCUUCGGGUUAACUACAGGAAACUGGGUCUAAUACCGGACAGGAAUCCUCGCCUCAUGGAGGGGGUUGGAAAGCUUCGGCGGUUUUGGAUGGAUUCGCGGCUUAUAUGCUGGUUGGUGGGGUAGGGGUUUACCAAGGCUUGGCGGGGUGGCGGGCCGGAGAGGGGGACCGCCCAAAUGGGACUGAGGUAAGGCCCAGACUCCUACGGGGGGGAAGAGGGGGGAAUAUUGGACAAUGGGCGGAAGGCUGAUGCAGCAACGCCGCGUGCGGGAUGACGGCCUUCGGGUUGUAAACCGCUUUCAGCAGGGGCGAAGCUUGUGGUGACGGUACCUGCAGAAGAAGCACCGGCUAACUACGUG
This 464-nucleotide ribosomal RNA is filed under the name uncultured bacterium. RNAcentral's name for it is "partial 16S ribosomal RNA". It matches the Rfam family "Bacterial small subunit ribosomal RNA", at positions 28 to 507 of the family's 1533-position model. The record is from RNAcentral.